AUGCAAGAAUAGGUUUUAGUUAGUGCAUGCAUGAAGGAGUAUAAGCAAGUGAAUGAAAGACUGAUGGUGGGUGUUCUUCAAAGUGAAGAUGCAGAGUGGUUGUUGUCAUUAUGUAUGUCCCUGUGGAUGUUUAAAAUGUGAAUUUUGGGAAAAUUUACAAGACAUCUUGGAUGAAUGCAACCCUCAGGAACAUGUGAUUAUAAGUGGAGAUAUGAUUGGAUGGGUGGAUGUGAAGAAACAGUUGUCUGAGAGAGUGCUGGGUCUAUAUGAACUUUAUAUUAUGUCACGAUUUCGAGAAUGGAGUUUGGAAUGCAAAGUUUAUGUUGGCAAUCUCGGUAGCGGAACAGCUAAACAUGAAAUAGAAGCAGCUUUCAGUAAAUUUGGGCCACUACGUAAUGUGUGGGUAGCGCGAAAUCCUCCCGGAUUCGCUUUUGUAGAAUUUGAAGAUCCUCAAGAUGCCGAAGAUGCUUGCAGAAGUCUUGAUGGAACACGGCUGUGUGGUAGUCGUGUUCGUGUGGAAAUGUCACAUGGAAGAAGUAGGAGAGGUGGAAGACGACCGCCGCCACCUCCACGCUAUGGAAAUUAUAACAAUAGACGAACAGGACAUGGCAGGCAAUCUACUCGCCAUUUUCUUCGUUCCUAUCUACCUCCUCAUGGCUGACAGCAUCGGUGUUUAAUACAACUCUUUCAGCGCAGCCAACUUUGCUGCAAAUGCAGUCCUAUCUUUGGAGAUGUACAUCAGAUUGCUGUUAAAAAUCCACAAACACAAUGACCAUACGUCCGUCCCUUCAAACCACACCCAUCAUGAGGUCCGGUCGACGCUUCACCUUUAAACUGCGAUUAUUCAACCUCUGUCUUUCAUGCAACAUACCAUAUUGUGCAUCGUAGUCGACAAAGUCACCACCGCCAAAAACUAGUUUCUUCAACGCUGAUCAGCCAAACCGCAUUAUGUAUUGUCUGUCGCCACCGUCGGCUACUUAUUCUACUUCGCUACUACUACAGCUACUGCAAACACUAAGCAGCGGCUGACAAAUAGUCGACAACAUAACUUCCACUACCCUCGUAAUACAGAUCACGGUCACCACCACCACGCCGGCGCUAUUCCAGAAGCGGAUCUCGCAGUCCUCGCAGAAGCAUAAGCCGUUCUCCCUCCAGAGAAAGAAGAUCUAGAAGCUAAAUGACUGGAAUAAAUCACCAGACUUCAGUUUAACCUUUACAAAAUAUCACAAGAGACUGUGUUUUGUGUAAAACAAAAAAAAUGUAUCACAAGUGUGGUAAUUUGGAUUAUUAAUAAAAUUUUAGUGUUGUGUUUUAAAUACUUUUUGUAAUCUUUUGUCUCCACUUUGCUAUAUA
This is an RNA transcript of Centruroides sculpturatus (bark scorpion), 1353 nucleotides long. It is a transcript of the gene named RNA-binding protein 1-like, with no coding region annotated. The record is from RefSeq and is a predicted model, not a curated record. Lineage: Eukaryota; Metazoa; Arthropoda; Arachnida; Scorpiones; Buthidae. The transcript has 8 exons.